GCCCUUGUAGUAUAAGCUA
This 19-nucleotide transfer RNA is filed under the name Nomascus gabriellae (Red-cheeked gibbon). RNAcentral describes it as "partial tRNA-Thr". Lineage: Eukaryota; Metazoa; Chordata; Mammalia; Primates; Hylobatidae. The record is from RNAcentral.